RNAcentral lists this long non-coding RNA (353 nucleotides) under Androctonus crassicauda. The record is from RNAcentral. Lineage: Eukaryota; Metazoa; Arthropoda; Arachnida; Scorpiones; Buthidae.
GGAUAAUAUCGGUUAAGUGGAUCAGGAUUUUUAACAUUAUUUAAUGUUUAUGCCAGGGAUAUGUACAAUUUCAAACAACAACGGAAAUCGACCAUUAUUGAUGUGAUAGCAAAUGAUAAACUUAUUCCUAGUAAUCUGGAAUUGGAUUUUGAAAGCAACAUAACUAUUGAUGAGGAUUUAAAAACAGAUGGGGAAGACCCACUGUUGUCUCUAUCAAACUCUGAUUUUGAAGAAACAGAGGAAGAUGAAAAAAUGAUUGAACAGGAAUUGCCACCUUCAUUAAUGGACACUUUGAAAGCAUUGGAUACAAUGUUACAUUAUUUAGAAGCAAAUAGUUGUGAUUCAUAUGAAAC